RNAcentral lists this ribosomal RNA (433 nucleotides) under uncultured bacterium. Its description in RNAcentral is "partial 16S ribosomal RNA". It matches the Rfam family "Bacterial small subunit ribosomal RNA", at positions 29 to 507 of the family's 1533-position model. The record is from RNAcentral.
AACGAACGCUGGCGGCAUGCCUAACACAUGCAAGUCGAACGAGACCUUCGGGUCUAGUGGCGCACGGGUGCGUAACGCGUGGGAACCUGCCUUUAGGUUCGGAAUAACUCAGAGAAAUUUGAGCUAAUACCGGAUGAUGUCUUCGGACCAAAGAUUUAUCGCCUUUAGAUGGGCCCGCGUUGGAUUAGCUAGUUGGUGGGGUAAAGGCCUACCAAGGCGACGAUCCAUAGCUGGUCUGAGAGGAUGAUCAGCCACACUGGGACUGAGACACGGCCCAGACUCCUACGGGAGGCAGCAGUGGGGAAUAUUGGACAAUGGGCGAAAGCCUGAUCCAGCAAUGCCGCGUGAGUGAUGAAGGCCUUAGGGUUGUAAAGCUCUUUUAACCGAGAUGAUAAUGACAGUAGCGGGAGAAUAAGCUCCGGCUAACUCCGUG